This 440-nucleotide ribosomal RNA is filed under the name uncultured bacterium. RNAcentral's name for it is "partial 16S ribosomal RNA". It matches the Rfam family "Bacterial small subunit ribosomal RNA", at positions 338 to 795 of the family's 1533-position model. The record is from RNAcentral.
CCUACGGGUGGCAGCAGUGGGGAAUAUUGGUCAAUGGGCGCAAGCCUGAACCAGCAACGCCGCGUGAAGGAUGAAGGUUUUCGGGUUGUAAACUUCUUUUUAUAGAGAAGAUAAGUACGGUAUCUAACGAAUAUGCACCGGCUAUUUCCGUGCCAGCAGCCCCGGCAAUACGGAGGGUGCAAGCGUUAUUCGGAAGCACUGGGCGUAAAGAGGGCGUAGACGGGAUAGCAAGUCAGAUGUGAAAUUCUAGGGCUUAACCAUAGAACUGCAUUUGAGACUGUUAUUCUUGAGUAUGGGAGAGGUAGGCGGAAUUCGUGGUGUAGCGGUGAAAUGCGUAGAUAUCAAGAAGAACACUCAUUGCGAAGGCGGCUUACUAGACCAUAACUGACGCUGAUGCGCGAAAGCGUGGGGAGCAAACAGGAUUAGAUACCCCAGUAGUC